UUAAAACAUUGAACACCCCUUUUUGAAAACUAAAAAAAAAAAAUUACCCAUCAUCUCUCUUAUUUUCCUUAAAGAAAAACAGAGAGAAAGCUCUCAAAUUUUCUCUUAGGCCUGUGCCACCCUCAUCGAAGAUCCGGCUAGCCGAGGUCGUGAGUUCGUCGGUAAGUCCCCUCUCUCCCUCUCUUGUUUUUUUAAAAAAACCGUUUUAAAAAAAAUUUUGAAAAGGAAACAGAACAAACGAAAUCCAAAUCAAGAGAAAAUUCCAAAAAAAAUGAAAAAUCACCUUUCAAAACAUAGUUCCGAUUCUUGGUUUACUCUUGAACUUUGUAUUAUCUCCGAAAAAAAAUAUAUAUAUAUCCCCCUAAAAUACAAUCGAUUCCUCUCUAAAAAUCCCCUCUAAAAAACAAUCCCUUCUCCCAUCGAAAUAUCAAAAAAUCCCCCUCCAUUACAAAUGAUAGAUUUUGGCUUUUUUAAAGCCGAUCUACGAAACAUUCAUCUCCUAUUUUUUUUGUUUUCGUUCUUUUGUUUAUUCUUUCCCCCAUCCCUCGCAUGCUUUCUCUUGCUGUUGUUUUUGUCCCUGUUGCAGGUGUGUCAGGUGUGGGUGGUGCACGUGAUGGCCAAGGGCAGGGGGGCAUGCGGCUGAACUUUGGUGGCUGCAUCUUGGGGAAGGGUUUACUGCUGAAAAAAAACCUUAAGCAAGUGGGCUAUUAUUUGGGCUAGGGUCUGAUGUAAAUUGGGCUGUUUAAUAUUGUAAAUGGGUUAUUUAUUUGGUUAUAUUUGGGUUUGGUUUUAUUGGGCCCUGAGUAAAAUUUGGGUCUUACACAACUGUUUGAAUGAUAAUCUAAAAUAAAAUUAUUGGGAUUUAAUAUACUUCAUGUUUCUUUCGAAUAUGAAAACCUGUUAGUCUA
Molecule: long non-coding RNA, 908 nt
Filed under: Gossypium barbadense (sea-island cotton)
Lineage: Eukaryota; Viridiplantae; Streptophyta; Magnoliopsida; Malvales; Malvaceae
Description: long non-coding RNA (GBAR_LNC002302)
Source: RNAcentral